ACGCUCGACACCUACGGGAGGCAGCAGUUGGGAAUAUUGGACAAUGGAGGGAACUCUGAUCCAGUGACGCCGCGUGAAGGAAGAAGGUCUUCGGGUUGUAAACUUAUUUUAUCAGGGAAGAAAGAAAUGACAGUACCUGAAGAAGAAGGACCGGCUAACUACGUGCCGGCAGCCGCGGUAAUCUGAGCGGGCUGGCAAGGC
Molecule: ribosomal RNA, 201 nt
Filed under: uncultured bacterium
Lineage: Bacteria
Description: partial 16S ribosomal RNA
Rfam family: Bacterial small subunit ribosomal RNA
Source: RNAcentral